ACCACAAUCUCUGCCUUCUCCUUUCCCGUUUCACCCACAACCACAACAACUCAGUAGGCAGCAGCACCUCCACCACCCACAACAACCGCAACACACAAACCACCAUAAUCAGACCAUAUCAAACCCACAAUCCAAAAGCAAAAAACGAUUCUGAAGAUCUGCGAUUGCCCAAAGUUAAAGUCACUGCUGAACUUCUUUCCUAUAACUUACAGAAAUUCGAGAUCUGGGGGAGUCCGAUUCUAGAUGAACGCUGCGAAUCAUCUGGCCGUUGGGGAGACGAUAUGGUUUUAAUAGAACAAAUUGCAGUAACUAUGACAUCUAUUAUAGUCCUCCACAUUAUAAUUUAACGCCCUCUCCACCUAAAGCGUAUGACUGAAGGUUGUCGCGAGUGUUAUAUCAAAGGAGGUCAAUGUAAGAUUGACCACAAAGGAAAAGCUUAUUGUACCAAAGGAACGAAAGGGAAUAAUAGAAGCAGGGUAGUAGCAUUAGCCUCUUCGUUUAUCAAGUUCCAAAAUCAACCAAAGCCUCAACUUUGAACACACCCAUUUGCAAUUUUGGUUGAAUGAUGAGAAAAAGCAGAGCAUGAUUGAAGACAUCUACAACACCAAGAAGCAGAAAAGGCGGAGAAAUAAUUGAAAGGGUUUUUUGGUAUUGGUAUUGGCGGAGGAAUUUGGGUUAGGGGUUGAAGGAUGGGAGGGAGGAAGGUGCUAAGCAAAUACUACUCACCUGUCCAACCUAGAGGCUUGAGGGGUCAAGCACACAUGAUGCUUCCCAUAAGUAGAUGUUAUUGGUGACAAUUAUUUAGGUAUUCGAAGGUUCUGAUUCUACUGCAAAUGUACAAAUGCUUUGCUGAGCUUACCAUCAAGACUGACCCACAAAAUUUCAACUAUAUUGUUGAGUCUGGUGCUACCAGAAAUUUUGAACCUGUGUGAAGAUGAUGAGGCAGCAGAGACAAUAACCAUAAAAGAGAAGUUGGAGAGAUGGAAGAUGCAAUGAAAUCUUUAGAGAACAAAAACCUUGGAUUUGGAAAGAAAAAUGGACAUCAUUACUACACUGGAUGGGAUGAAAUCUAUGAAGUUCUUUUUUUUGUAUUUCAUGGACUUAAUCGGCAGACAAGGUACCCCCACAUGGUACUACUCUUUCUUAUCAAUUUUCAGCUUCGAUCUUCUUGGGUUUAAUCCUUAUUCAAAUAUGUUAAAACUUUUAAGGUUUUUGUUUUAAUUGGUGGUAGUUGAGAAUUGAGUGAGGAUCUUGCAAAAUAUGCGAAAGUGUUAGAAGUAGGGGCUAAUGGAUUAGGCUAUGAGCUGCUAAAAGACUUGGCUCUAUCAGGUUUCCAUUAUUGGCUUCAAGGCUCUUUAUUGUAUGCAUUUUCUUAUGAGACAUUUUGGCUCUAUCUUUGUAUUCAAUAUUGAAGUUAAAGUAGUUA
Molecule: long non-coding RNA, 1426 nt
Organism: Quercus robur (English oak)
Lineage: Eukaryota; Viridiplantae; Streptophyta; Magnoliopsida; Fagales; Fagaceae
Exons: 8
Source: RefSeq, a predicted model, not a curated record